UCAAACACUUAGAAACAUUAAAACAAAUAUUAAAACAACAAAUAAAUUAAAACAAUAUUAAAACAAUUCUCAAAACAACAAACAAAUAGAAAAUACAAUAAAAACCCUUUAUAUUAAGAUAUUUACAACUAAAAUAGUAGCAAAAUUAAUAAUAAAGUAAAAGUUCUACAAUAUCCAAAUAAUAUUAAAAAUGAAAGCCAAAUAAUAUGAAAAACUACAGCGAAACAACAUAAUAAAAAAUUGCAAAAUAACAUAAUAAAC
This 261-nucleotide long non-coding RNA is filed under the name Gossypium raimondii (Peruvian cotton). RNAcentral describes it as "long non-coding RNA (GRAI_LNC010528)". The record is from RNAcentral. Lineage: Eukaryota; Viridiplantae; Streptophyta; Magnoliopsida; Malvales; Malvaceae.